UACGGGAGGCAGCAGUGGGGAAUUUUGGACAAUGGGGGCAACCCUGAUCCAGCCAUUCCGCGUGAGUGAAGAAGGCCUUCGGGUUGUAAAGCUCUUUCAGCGGGAACGAAACGGUAGUCUCUAACAUAGGCUGCUAAUGACGGUACCCGCAGAAGAAGCACCGGCUAACUACGUGCCAGCAGCCGCGGUAAUACGUAGGGUGCGAGCGUUAAUCGGAAUUACUGGGCGUAAAGCGUGCGCAGGCGGACUGUUAAGCAAGAUGUGAAAUCCCCGGGCUUAACCUGGGGAUGGCAUUUUGAACUGGCAGUCUAGAGUGUGUCAGAGGGGGGUGGAAUUCCACGUGUAGCAGUGAAAUGCGUAGAUAUGUGGAGGAACACCAAUGGCGAAGGCAGCCCCCUGGGAUAACACUGACGCUCAUGUACGAAAGCGUGGGUAGCAAACAGGAUUAGAUACCCUGGUAGUCCACGCCCUAAACGAUGUCAACUGGUUGUUGGGGGAGUGAAAUCCCUUAGUAACGAAGCUAACGCGUGAAGUUGACCGCCUGGGGAGUACGGUCGCAAGAUUAAAACUUAAAUGAAUUGACGGGGGCAAGGGCGAAUUCUGCAGAUAUCCAUCACACUGGCGGCCGCUCGAGCA
RNAcentral lists this ribosomal RNA (636 nucleotides) under uncultured bacterium. RNAcentral describes it as "bacterial SSU rRNA". It matches the Rfam family "Bacterial small subunit ribosomal RNA", at positions 340 to 967 of the family's 1533-position model. The record is from RNAcentral.